This 1280-nucleotide ribosomal RNA is filed under the name Nocardiopsis alba. Its description in RNAcentral is "bacterial SSU rRNA". It matches the Rfam family "Bacterial small subunit ribosomal RNA", at positions 1 to 1254 of the family's 1533-position model. Lineage: Bacteria; Bacillati; Actinomycetota; Actinomycetes; Streptosporangiales; Nocardiopsidaceae. The record is from RNAcentral.
GUUAUUUAAAUACUAAGACAAACCUCACCCACCCUAGUAGUUUGAUCCUGGCUCAGGACGAACGCUGGCGGCGUGCUUAACACAUGCAAGUCGAGCGGUAAGGCCCUUCGGGGUACACGAGCGGCGAACGGGUGAGUAACACGUGAGCAACCUGCCCCUGACUCUGGGAUAAGCGGUGGAAACGCCGUCUAAUACCGGAUACGACCUUCCACCUCAUGGUGGAGGGUGGAAAGUUUUUUCGGUCAGGGAUGGGCUCGCGGCCUAUCAGCUUGUUGGUGGGGUAACGGCCUACCAAGGCGAUUACGGGUAGCCGGCCUGAGAGGGCGACCGGCCACACUGGGACUGAGACACGGCCCAGACUCCUGCGGGAGGCAGCAGUGGGGAAUAUUGCGCAAUGGGCGAAAGCCUGACGCAGCGACGCCGCGUGGGGGAUGACGGCCUUCGGGUUGUAAACCUCUUUUACCACCAACGCAGGCUCCGGGUUCUCUCGGGGUUGACGGUAGGUGGGGAAUAAGGACCGGCUAACUACGUGCCAGCAGCCGCGGUAAUACGUAGGGUCCGAGCGUUGUCCGGAAUUAUUGGGCGUAAAGAGCUCGUAGGCGGCGUGUCGCGUCUGCUGUGAAAGACCGGGGCUUAACUCCGGUUCUGCAGUGGAUACGGGCAUGCUAGAGGUAGGUAGGGGAGACUGGAAUUCCUGGUGUAGCGGUGAAAUGCGCAGAUAUCAGGAGGAACACCGGUGGCGAAGGCGGGUCUCUGGGCCUUACCUGACGCUGAGGAGCGAAAGCAUGGGGAGCGAACAGGAUUAGAUACCCUGGUAGUCCAUGCCGUAAACGUUGGGCGCUAGGUGUGGGGACUUUCCACGGUUUCCGCGCCGUAGCUAACGCAUUAAGCGCCCCGCCUGGGGAGUACGGCCGCAAGGCUAAAACUCAAAGGAAUUGACGGGGGCCCGCACAAGCGGCGGAGCAUGUUGCUUAAUUCGACGCAACGCGAAGAACCUUACCAAGGUUUGACAUCACCCGUGGACCUGUAGAGAUACAGGGUCAUUUAGUUGGUGGGUGACAGGUGGUGCAUGGCUGUCGUCAGCUCGUGUCGUGAGAUGUUGGGUUAAGUCCCGCAACGAGCGCAACCCUUGUUCCAUGUUGCCAGCACGUAAUGGUGGGGACUCAUGGGAGACUGCCGGGGUCAACUCGGAGGAAGGUGGGGACGACGUCAAGUCAUCAUGCCCCUUAUGUCUUGGGCUGCAAACAUGCUACAAUGGCCGGUACAAUGGGCGUGCGAUA